UUGAUCUCAUAUCAGGCUGAACUUAAGCAUAUCAAUAAGCGGAGGAAAAGAAACUAACAAGGAUUCCCCUAGUAACUGCGAGUGAAGCGGGAAAAGCUCAAAUUUAAAAUCUGGCGGUCUUUGGCCGUCCGAGUUGUAGUUUAGAGAAGCGCCUUCCGUGCUGGACCGUGUACAAGUCUCCUGGAACGGAGCGUCGUAGAGGGUGAGAAUCCCGUCUUUGACACGGACUACCAGUGCUCUGUGAUGUGCUCUCGAAGAGUCGAGUUGUUUGGGAAUGCAGCUCAAAAUGGGUGGUGAACUCCAUCUAAAGCUAAAUAUUGGCGAGAGACCGAUAGCGAACAAGUACCGUGAGGGAAAGAUGAAAAGCACUUUGGAAAGAGAGUGAAACAGUACGUGAAAUUGCUGAAAGGGAAACGCUUGAAGUCAGUCGCGUUUGCCGGGACUCAGCCCCACCUCGGUAGGGUGUACUUCCUGGUAGACGGGCCAGCAUCACUUUUCUUCGCUGGAUAAGGCCAGGAGGAAGGUGCCCCUUCGGGGGUGUUAUAGCCUCUUGUCGGAUGCAGUGGAGGGGAGUGAGGCUCUCAGCGCGCCUUUGGUCGGGGUUCGCCUACGAUCGCGCUUAGGAUGCUGGCGUAAUGGCUUUAAACGACCNNUCUUGAAACACGGACCAAGGAGUCUAACAUGCCUGCGAGUGUUCGGGUGGAAAACCCGUGCGCGCAAUGAAAGUGAAAGUUGGGAUCCCUGUCGUGGGGAGCACCGACGCCCGGACUUGAGCUCUUGCGACGGUUCCGCGGUAGAGCAUGUAUGUUGGGACCCGAAAGAUGGUGAACUAUGCCUGAAUAGGGUGAAGCCAGAGGAAACUCUGGUGGAGGCUCGUAGCGAUUCUGACGUGCAAAUCGAUCGUCAAAUUUGGGUAUAGGGGCGAAAGACUAAUCGAACCAUCUAGUAGCUGGUUCCUGCCGAAGUUUCCCUCAGGAUAGCAGAAACUCAUGUCAGAUUUAUGUGGUAAAGCGAAUGAUUAGAGGCCUUGGGGUUGAAACAACCUUAACCUAUUCUCAAACUUUAAAUAUGUAAGAACGAGCCGUCUCUUGAUUGGACCGCUCGGCGAUUGAGAGUUUCUAGUGGGCCAUUUUUGGUAAGCAGAACUGGCGAUGCGGGAUGAACCGAACGGGAGGUUAAGGUGCCGGAAUCUACGCUCAUCAGACACCACCAAAGGGGUUAGUUCAUCUARACAGCAGGACGGUGGSCAUGGAAGUCGGAACCCGCUAAGGAUGUGUUAACAACUCACCUGGCGGAAUGRACUASCCUGRAAAUGGAUGGCGCUCAA
This 1327-nucleotide ribosomal RNA is filed under the name Confertobasidium olivaceoalbum. Its description in RNAcentral is "eukaryotic LSU rRNA". It matches the Rfam family "Eukaryotic large subunit ribosomal RNA", at positions 1 to 1332 of the family's 3401-position model. The record is from RNAcentral. Lineage: Eukaryota; Fungi; Basidiomycota; Agaricomycetes; Russulales.